AUCCCAUGAUAAGGACACUUGCAAAUUAACUCAUUGAAUCACUCUCAAGCCUCACACAAAGACUCGUCAUCCAAUUGUUGGAAGGUUGUGAUCUUAUUCUUCAACUU
Molecule: non-coding RNA, 107 nt
Organism: Gossypium arboreum
Lineage: Eukaryota; Viridiplantae; Streptophyta; Magnoliopsida; Malvales; Malvaceae
Source: Rfam